UUUCUGUAGGUGAACCUGCGGAAGGAUCAUUAAAAAUGAAGCCGGGAAACCGGUCCUUCUAACCCUUGAUUAUCUUAAUUUGUUGCUUUGGUGGGCCGCGCAAGCACCGGCUUCGGCUGGAUCGUGCCCGCCAGAGGACACAACUCUGUAUCAAAUGUCGUCUGAGUACUAUAAAAUAGUUAAAACUUUCAACAACGGAUCUCUUGGUUCUG
This 212-nucleotide unclassified non-coding RNA is filed under the name plant metagenome. RNAcentral's name for it is "partial contains small subunit ribosomal RNA, internal transcribed spacer 1, and 5.8S ribosomal RNA". The record is from RNAcentral.